RNAcentral lists this ribosomal RNA (376 nucleotides) under Francisella tularensis. Its description in RNAcentral is "bacterial SSU rRNA". It matches the Rfam family "Bacterial small subunit ribosomal RNA", at positions 1077 to 1458 of the family's 1533-position model. The record is from RNAcentral. Lineage: Bacteria; Pseudomonadati; Pseudomonadota; Gammaproteobacteria; Thiotrichales; Francisellaceae.
GGGUUAAGUCCCGCAACGAGCGCAACCCCUAUUGAUAGUUACCAUCAUUAAGUUGGGUACUCUAUUAAGACUGCCGCUGACAAGGCGGAGGAAGGUGGGGACGACGUCAAGUCAUCAUGGCCCUUACGACCAGGGCUACACACGUGCUACAAUGGGUAUUACAGAGGGCUGCGAAGGUGCGAGCUGGAGCGAAACUCAAAAAGGUACUCUUAGUCCGGAUUGCAGUCUGCAACUCGACUGCAUGAAGUCGGAAUCGCUAGUAAUCGCAGGUCAGAAUACUGCGGUGAAUACGUUCCCGGGUCUUGUACACACCGCCCGUCACACCAUGGGAGUGGGUUGCUCCAGAAGUAGAUAGCUUAACGAAUGGGCGUUUACC